RNAcentral lists this transfer RNA (70 nucleotides) under Carnobacterium maltaromaticum. RNAcentral describes it as "tRNA-Ile". It matches the Rfam family "tRNA". Rfam says of the family: Transfer RNA (tRNA) molecules are approximately 80 nucleotides in length. Their secondary structure includes four short double-helical elements and three loops (D, anti-codon, and T loops). RNAcentral also lists the same sequence under 1 other name. Lineage: Bacteria; Bacillati; Bacillota; Bacilli; Lactobacillales; Carnobacteriaceae. The record is from RNAcentral.
UGGCUGUAGCUCAACGGUAGAGCGCACGACUGAUAAUCGUGAGGUGGAGGUUCGAAUCCUUCUAGCGCAA